UACAGAGGGUGCGAGCGUUGUCCGGAAUCACUGGGCGUACAGGGCGCGUAGGUGGCGGCCCAAGUCCAUGGUGAAAGCUCGAUGCUCAACAUCGAGUCGGCCACGGAUACUGGGUUGCUCGAGCACUGUAGGGGCAGAUGGAAUUCCGGGUGUAGCGGUGGAAUGCGUAGAGAUCCGGAAGAACACCGGUGGCGAAGGCGGUCUGCUGGGCAGUUGCUGACACUGAGGCGCGACAGCGUGGGGAGCAAACAGG
RNAcentral lists this ribosomal RNA (253 nucleotides) under uncultured bacterium. RNAcentral describes it as "partial 16S ribosomal RNA". It matches the Rfam family "Bacterial small subunit ribosomal RNA", at positions 524 to 776 of the family's 1533-position model. The record is from RNAcentral.